Molecule: ribosomal RNA, 1469 nt
Filed under: uncultured organism
Description: SSU rRNA
Rfam family: Bacterial small subunit ribosomal RNA
Source: RNAcentral
GCUCAGGACGAACGCUGGCGGCGUGCCUAAUACAUGCAAGUAGAACGCUGAAGAGAGGAGCUUGCUCUUCUUGGAUGAGUUGCGAACGGGUGAGUAACGCGUAGGUAACCUGCCUGGUAGCGGGGGAUAACUAUUGGAAACGAUAGCUAAUACCGCAUAAAAUUGAUUAUUGCAUGAUAAUUAAUUGAAAGAUGCAAUUGCAUCACUACCAGAUGGACCUGCGUUGUAUUAGCUAGUUGGUGAGGUAACGGCUCACCAAGGCGACGAUACAUAGCCGACCUGAGAGGGUGAUCGGCCACACUGGGACUGAGACACGGCCCAGACUCCUACGGGAGGCAGCAGUAGGGAAUCUUCGGCAAUGGGGGGAACCCUGACCGAGCAACGCCGCGUGAGUGAAGAAGGUUUUCGGAUCGUAAAGCUCUGUUGUAAGAGAAGAACGGGUGUGAGAGUGGAAAGUUCACACUGUGACGGUAUCUUACCAGAAAGGGACGGCUAACUACGUGCCAGCAGCCGCGGUAAUACGUAGGUCCCGAGCGUUGUCCGGAUUUAUUGGGCGUAAAGCGAGCGCAGGCGGUUAGAUAAGUCUGAAGUUAAAGGCUGUGGCUUAACCAUAGUAUGCUUUGGAAACUGUUUAACUUGAGUGCAGAAGGGGAGAGUGGAAUUCCAUGUGUAGCGGUGAAAUGCGUAGAUAUAUGGAGGAACACCGGUGGCGAAAGCGGCUCUCUGGUCUGUAACUGACGCUGAGGCUCGAAAGCGUGGGGAACAAACAGGAUUAGAUACCCUGGUAGUCCACGCCGUAAACGAUGAGUGCUAGGUGUUAGGCCCUUUCCGGGGCUUAGUGCCGCAGCUAACGCAUUAAGCACUCCGCCUGGGGAGUACGACCGCAAGGUUGAAACUCAAAGGAAUUGACGGGGGCCCGCACAAGCGGUGGAGCAUGUGGUUUAAUUCGAAGCAACGCGAAGAACCUUACCAGGUCUUGACAUCCCUCUGACCGCUCUAGAGAUAGAGUUUUCCUUCGGGACAGAGGUGACAGGUGGUGCAUGGUUGUCGUCAGCUCGUGUCGUGAGAUGUUGGGUUAAGUCCCGCAACGAGCGCAACCCCUAUUGUUAGUUGCCAUCAUUCAGUUGGGCACUCUAGCGAGACUGCCGGUAAUAAACCGGAGGAAGGUGGGGAUGACGUCAAAUCAUCAUGCCCCUUAUGACCUGGGCUACACACGUGCUACAAUGGCUGGUACAACGAGUCGCAAGCCGGUGACGGCAAGCUAAUCUCUGAAAGCCAGUCUCAGUUCGGAUUGUAGGCUGCAACUCGCCUACAUGAAGUCGGAAUCGCUAGUAAUCGCGGAUCAGCACGCCGCGGUGAAUACGUUCCCGGGCCUUGUACACACCGCCCGUCACACCACGAGAGUUUGUAACACCCGAAGUCGGUGAGGUAACCGUAAGGAGCCAGCCGCCUAAGGUGGGAUAGAUGAU